Molecule: non-coding RNA, 28 nt
Filed under: Rattus norvegicus (Norway rat)
Lineage: Eukaryota; Metazoa; Chordata; Mammalia; Rodentia; Muridae
Source: RNAcentral
UGAGGAUACCAUUGGCUGUAAUUGCACA